UACGGGGGGGGCAAGCGUUGUUCGGAAUUACUGGGCGUAAAGGGUUCGUAGGCGGCCAACUAAGUCAGACGUGAAAUCCCCAGGCUCAACCUGGGAACUGCGUCUGAUACUGGAUGGCUUGAAUCCGGGAGAGGGAUGCAGAAUUCCAGGUGUAGCGGUGAAAUGCGUAGAUAUCUGGAGGAAUACCGGUGGCGAAGGCGGCAUCCUGGACCGGCAUUGACGCUGAGGAGCGAAAGCCAGGGGAGCAAACGGG
Molecule: ribosomal RNA, 253 nt
Filed under: uncultured bacterium
Lineage: Bacteria
Description: partial 16S ribosomal RNA
Rfam family: Bacterial small subunit ribosomal RNA
Source: RNAcentral